UAGGGAAUCUUCGGCAAUGGACGAAAGUCUGACCGAGCAACGCCGCGUGAGUGAAGAAGGUUUUCGGAUCGUAAAACUCUGUUGUUAGAGAAGAACAAGGACGUUAGUAACUGAACGUCCCCUGACGGUAUCUAACCAGAAAGCCACGGCUAACUACGUGCCAGCAGCCGCGGUAAUACGUAGGUGGCAAGCGUUGUCCGGAUUUAUUGGGCGUAAAGCGAGCGCAGGCGGUUUCUUAAGUCUGAUGUGAAAGCCCCCGGCUCAACCGGGGAGGGUCAUUGGAAACUGGGAGACUUGAGUGCAGAAGAGGAGAGUGGAAUUCCAUGUGUAGCGGUGAAAUGCGUAGAUAUAUGGGGGAACACCAGUGGCGAAGGCGGCUCUCUGGUCUGUAUCUGACGCUGAGGCUCGAAAGCGUGGGGAGCAAACAGG
This 429-nucleotide ribosomal RNA is filed under the name Gemmatimonadota bacterium. Its description in RNAcentral is "Gemmatimonadetes bacterium partial 16S ribosomal RNA". It matches the Rfam family "Bacterial small subunit ribosomal RNA", at positions 355 to 776 of the family's 1533-position model. The record is from RNAcentral. Lineage: Bacteria; Pseudomonadati; Gemmatimonadota.